GGACGAACGCUGGCGGCGUGCUUAACACAUGCAAGUCGAACGAUGAACCUCCUUCGGGAGGGGAUUAGUGGCGAACGGGUGAGUAACACGUGGGCAAUCUGCCCUUCACUCUGGGACAAGCCCUGGAAACGGGGUCUAAUACCGGAUACGACACGGGAUCGCAUGAUCUCCGUGUGGAAAGCUCCGGCGGUGAAGGAUGAGCCCGCGGCCUAUCAGCUUGUUGGUGAGGUAACGGCUCACCAAGGCGACGACGGGUAGCCGGCCUGAGAGGGCGACCGGCCACACUGGGACUGAGACACGGCCCAGACUCCUACGGGAGGCAGCAGUGGGGAAUAUUGCACAAUGGGCGCAAGCCUGAUGCAGCGACGCCGCGUGAGGGAUGACGGCCUUCGGGUUGUAAACCUCUUUCAGCAGGGAAGAAGCGCAAGUGACGGUACCUGCAGAAGAAGCGCCGGCUAACUAC
RNAcentral lists this ribosomal RNA (463 nucleotides) under Streptomycetaceae bacterium 'ARUP UnID 641'. RNAcentral describes it as "bacterial SSU rRNA". It matches the Rfam family "Bacterial small subunit ribosomal RNA", at positions 27 to 504 of the family's 1533-position model. Lineage: Bacteria; Bacillati; Actinomycetota; Actinomycetes; Kitasatosporales; Streptomycetaceae. The record is from RNAcentral.